This 497-nucleotide ribosomal RNA is filed under the name uncultured bacterium. Its description in RNAcentral is "partial 16S ribosomal RNA". It matches the Rfam family "Bacterial small subunit ribosomal RNA", at positions 28 to 507 of the family's 1533-position model. The record is from RNAcentral.
GACGAACGCUGGCGGCGUGCCUAAUACAUGCAAGUAGAACGCUGAAGCGAGGAGCUUGCUCUUCUUGGAUGAGCUGCGAACGGGUGAGUAACGCGUAGGUAACCUGCCUUGUAGCGGGGGAUAACUAUUGGAAACGAUAGCUAAUACCGCAUAACAAUGGAUGACACAUGUCAUUUAUUUGAAAGGGGCAAUUGCUCCACUACAAGAUGGACCUGCGUUGUAUUAGCUAGUAGGUGAGGUAAUGGCUCACCUAGGCGACGAUACAUAGCCGACCUGAGAGGGUGAUCGGCCACACUGGGACUGAGACACGGCCCAGACUCCUACGGGAGGCAGCAGUAGGGAAUCUUCGGCAAUGGGGGCAACCCUGACCGAGCAACGCCGCGUGAGUGAAGAAGGUUUUCGGAUCGUAAAGCUCUGUUGUAAGUCAAGAACGGGUGUGAGAGUGGAAAGUUCACACUGUGACGGUAGCUUACCAGAAAGGGACGGCUAACUACGUG